UGUAGUAAUCCUGCUUAGUACGAGAGGAACCGCAGGUUCAGACAUUUGGUGUAUGUGCUUGGUUGAGGAGCCAAUGGUGCGAAGCUACCUUCUGUGGGAUUAUGACUGAACGCCUCUAAGUCAGAAUCCCCCCUAAACGUAACGAUACCGUAGUGCAGCAGAUCUUCGGUUGGCCCGGGAUAGCCUGCCUCUUUUGGCAGGUGAGUAGAGCAGUUCGUGACGGGGUUUGUGGUGCAGCCAGAUGAGUUGCCACCCCUCUCCUGAUGCGCACCGCAUGUUUGUGGGGAACCCGGUGCUAAAUCACUUAUAGACGAACUGAUUCUGAGUCAAGGUUUCGUACGUAGCAGAGCAGCUCACUCACUGCGAUCUAUUGAAAGUCAGCCCUCGAUCCAAGCUUU
Molecule: non-coding RNA, 398 nt
Filed under: Salmo salar (Atlantic salmon)
Lineage: Eukaryota; Metazoa; Chordata; Actinopteri; Salmoniformes; Salmonidae
Description: Eukaryotic large subunit ribosomal RNA
Rfam family: Eukaryotic large subunit ribosomal RNA
Source: Rfam by way of RNAcentral